GUAGAGCUCAGUGGUAGAGCACUUACCUACCAAGUACAAGACCCUGAGUUCAAAUCUCAGUUUACC
This 66-nucleotide transfer RNA is filed under the name Dipodomys ordii (Ord's kangaroo rat). It matches the Rfam family "tRNA". From Rfam's summary of the family: Transfer RNA (tRNA) molecules are approximately 80 nucleotides in length. Their secondary structure includes four short double-helical elements and three loops (D, anti-codon, and T loops). The record is from Rfam by way of RNAcentral. Lineage: Eukaryota; Metazoa; Chordata; Mammalia; Rodentia; Heteromyidae.